Molecule: ribosomal RNA, 249 nt
Filed under: uncultured bacterium
Lineage: Bacteria
Description: partial 16S ribosomal RNA
Rfam family: Bacterial small subunit ribosomal RNA
Source: RNAcentral
GACGAACGCUGGCGGCGUGCUUAACACAUGCAAGUCGAGCGGUAAGGCCCUUUCGGGGGUACGACGAGCGGCGAACGGGUAGGAGUAACAACGUGGGUGGACCUCGCCCUCCAGCUCUGGGAGUAAGACCUCGGGAAACGUAGGGUCGUAAUACUGGAUAUGACUCCACGGUGGCAUGUCGUGGGGGUGGGAAAGCCUUGUGCGGCUGAGGAUGGGCCCGGCGGCCUAUCAGCUUGUUGGUGGGGUGAU